Anthonomus grandis grandis is the source of this 619-nucleotide long non-coding RNA. RefSeq lists it as uncharacterized. The transcript has 3 exons. The record is from RefSeq and is a predicted model, not a curated record. Lineage: Eukaryota; Metazoa; Arthropoda; Insecta; Coleoptera; Curculionidae.
ACGUAAAAUGCGCACAAACCCACUUUAAACCAAAAAAUCAAUAAAGGGGAGGCCCCAUAUUUCCCUGAUUAGGUUUACUUGACCGUGAAUACAUGCAUCUCUCUCUUUCACAAGGAAAAAGAUAAAGUCGUUAUAAUAGUUAUACCUCUCCGCUUUAUUCAUCACAGUACCCUUGGAAGUUCGAUGGUGUUUCGCAAUAAGUCAGUGUCGUCGCACUUGGGAACGCGUUGAGAGUGUAGAGUGUGCGUGUAAAUUCAGUUUAAUUUGUGUUUACCUACUUUUUUCUUCCAAUUUUGGUGUGUUUUAAUUUAAAGACUAUUAUUUUGUGUGUGUUUGUUACUACUAACGUAUUAAAGAUGUCGCCAAAGAAAUUAGGUACGAAAGGGCAAAUAAUACAUAGCCAGGGAAGAGAAAUUAUUGCCAAUGUAGCAGAGUUUAUGCAUAAAGAGGCAGAAGAAGGAUUAACUAUUCCUUUAAAACGCUUUAGAGAACGUACGUUGGCUGCUACAAAAAUAUCGAAAGUUACCUACCAAAAAAUAUUGAAGGAGUCGGCCAAUAUAAAAAAUAACCCCUCUUGUUCAUUCAGCAGUCCAAGAAAAAAGAGGCCCAGGAAAUCACG